UCGAAUGUAACAUGGUUAUGAAGUGCAUCAGUCGGUUGUGGUCUACUCCAUAUGCCGAGAUGUACUAAACAACUUGUUAGCAGAUAUGAGCAGGAAGGCACUAUUAUCCGGUGCCUACCUGGAGUCCUGAAGCUAUUAGCCUCCUUGGCAUUUAUUUGAAAUUAUAUAUGAAGACUGUUCAGUAGGUACUGUACUUAAAGAAUGUUAAUUCUGCCCUGGUGUGAGGUGACUAGGAAUUUGGUUCCUUUAUGCCUUUCAGCAACUCCUUUGGGGCUGUGUGUGCCAAUCCGAGGUUUCUACCUCAUGGCCCUUCCUGGGGCGAGUUAUUGGAUUUGACCUGUAACUAAAGCUGCGCUAAGCCUAAAGAUGCUGCAGACUCGACACUCAACGAGGAACUGGAUGUCAAGAUAGUGCAUAGCCUGUCCCUCCCCCGAGAGUGCGAUCCAUCAAGAGUUCGUGCGUUCAUCUCCUCGGAUGGCUUGACCUGCAUUAGGAGCAGGCACGCUCGCAUGCUGCACCCCUCCACACACCUCUGCUCCCAGGCCAGCCAACACAUCAUCCACCUCCGCUGGCUGUCUGAUUACGAAGUGGACCUGCAGCCUG
Long non-coding RNA from Schistocerca piceifrons (Central American locust), 603 nucleotides. RefSeq lists it as uncharacterized. The transcript is spliced from 3 exons. The record is from RefSeq and is a predicted model, not a curated record. NCBI's taxonomy places the organism in Eukaryota, Metazoa, Arthropoda, Insecta, Orthoptera, Acrididae.